RNAcentral lists this ribosomal RNA (590 nucleotides) under uncultured Burkholderia sp. RNAcentral's name for it is "bacterial SSU rRNA". It matches the Rfam family "Bacterial small subunit ribosomal RNA", at positions 418 to 1003 of the family's 1533-position model. Lineage: Bacteria; Pseudomonadati; Pseudomonadota; Betaproteobacteria; Burkholderiales; Burkholderiaceae. The record is from RNAcentral.
UCGGGUUGUAAAGCACUUUUGUCCGGAAAGAAAUCCUUGAUCCUAAUACGGUCGGGGGAUGACGGUACCGGAAGAAUAAGCACCGGCUAACUACGUGCCAGCAGCGCGGUAAUCGUAGGGUGCGAGCGUUAAUCGGAAUUACUGGGCGUAAAGCGUGCGCAGGCGGUUUGCUAAGACCGAUGUGAAAUCCCCGGGCUCAACCUGGGAACUGCAUUGGUGACUGGCAGGCUAGAGUAUGGCAGAGGGGGGUAGAAUUCCACGUGUAGCAGUGAAAUGCGUAGAGAUGUGGAGGAAUACCGAUGGCGAAGGCAGCCCCCUGGGCCAAUACUGACGCUCAUGCACGAAAGCGUGGGGAGCAAACAGGAUUAGAUACCCUGGUAGUCCACGCCCUAAACGAUGUCAACUAGUUGUUGGGGAUUCAUUUCCUUAGUAACGUAGCUAACGCGUGAAGUUGACCGCCUGGGGAGUACGGUCGCAAGAUUAAAACUCAAAGGAAUUGACGGGGACCCGCACAAGCGGUGGAUGAUGUGGAUUAAUUCGAUGCAACGCGAAAAACCUUACCUACCCUUGACAUGGUCGGAAUCCUGCUG